RNAcentral lists this ribosomal RNA (497 nucleotides) under uncultured bacterium. Its description in RNAcentral is "partial 16S ribosomal RNA". It matches the Rfam family "Bacterial small subunit ribosomal RNA", at positions 28 to 507 of the family's 1533-position model. The record is from RNAcentral.
GAUGAACGCUGGCGGCGUGCCUAACACAUGCAAGUCGAGCGAAAAGACCAGGAGCUUGCUCCCCUGACGUUAGCGGCGGACGGGUGAGUCACAUGUGGAUAACCUAACUCUAAGACUGGGAUAAUAACGGGAAACAGGAUCUAAUACCGGAUAAUAUAUCGAACCGGGUGGUUCACUAGUUAAAGACGGUUUUGCUGUCGCUUAUAGCCGGCUACGGGCCGCAUUAGUUGGUUGGGAAGGUAACGGCUUACCAAGGCUAGGAGGCGAAGCCGACCUGAACGGGUGAACGGCCACACGGGAUCAGAGACACGGCCCAGACACCGACGGGGGGCAGCGGUAGGGAAUCUUACGCGAGGGGGGAGAGCCGGACAGAGCAACGCGGGGUGAGGGAUGAAGGUCUUCGGAUGGUAAAGCGCUGUUGGUCGGAGAGAACUAAUGUGUAAUUAACUAUGCACGUAUUGACGGUACCGGAAGAAAAAGCCACGGCUAACUACGUG